This 253-nucleotide ribosomal RNA is filed under the name uncultured bacterium. Its description in RNAcentral is "partial 16S ribosomal RNA". It matches the Rfam family "Bacterial small subunit ribosomal RNA", at positions 524 to 776 of the family's 1533-position model. The record is from RNAcentral.
UACGUAGGGGGCUAGCGUUGUCCGGAAUCAUUGGGCGUAAAGAGCGUGUAGGCGGCCCGGUAAGUCCGCUGUAAAAGUCAAAGGCUCAACCUUUGAAUGUCAGUGGAUACUGCCGGGCUAGAGUCCGGAAGAGGCGAGUGGAACUCCUGGUGUAGCGGUGGAAUGCGCAGAUAUCAGGAGGAACACCAGUGGCGAAGGCGCCACUCUGGGCCGUAACUGACGCUGAGGAGCGAAAGCGUGGGUAGCAAACAGG